AACGAACGCUGGCGGCAUGCCUAACACAUGCAAGUCGAACGAGACCUUCGGGUCUAGUGGCGCACGGGUGCGUAACGCGUGGGAACCUGCCCUUAGGUUCGGAAUAACUCCCCGAAAGGGGUGCUAAUACCGGAUAAUGUCUUCGGACCAAAGAUUUAUCGCCUUUGGAUGGGCCCGCGUUGGAUUAGCUAGUUGGUAGGGUAAAAGCCUACCAAGGCGACGAUCCAUAGCUGGUCUGAGAGGAUGAUCAGCCACACUGGGACUGAGACACGGCCCAGACUCCUACGGGAGGCAGGAGUGGGGAAUAUUGGAAAAUGGGCGAAAGCCUGAUCCAGCCAUGCCGCGGGAGUGAUGAAGGCCUUAGGGUUGUAAAGCUCUUUUACCCGGGAUGAUAAUGACAGUACCGGGAGAAUAAGCUCCGGCUAACUCCGUG
This 433-nucleotide ribosomal RNA is filed under the name uncultured bacterium. RNAcentral describes it as "partial 16S ribosomal RNA". It matches the Rfam family "Bacterial small subunit ribosomal RNA", at positions 29 to 507 of the family's 1533-position model. The record is from RNAcentral.